CCUACGGGGUGCAGCAGUGAGGAAUAUUGGUCAAUGGACGAGAGUCUGAACCAGCCAAGUAGCGUGAAGGAUGACUGCCCUAUGGGUUGUAAACUUCUUUUAUAUGGGAAUAAAAUGUUCCACGUGUGGGAUUUUGUAUGUACCAUAUGAAUAAGGAUCGGCUAACUCCGUGCCAGCAGCCGCGGUAAUACGGAGGAUCCGAGCGUUAUCCGGAUUUAUUGGGUUUAAAGGGAGCGUAGGUGGAUUGUUAAGUCAGUUGUGAAAGUUUGCGGCUCAACCGUAAAAUUGCAGUUGAAACUGGCAGUCUUGAGUACAGUAGAGGUGGGCGGAAUUCGUGGUGUAGCGGUGAAAUGCUUAGAUAUCACGAAGAACUCCGAUUGCGAAGGCAGUUCACUGGACUGCAACUGACACUGAGGCUCGAAAGUGUGGGUAUCAAACAGGAUUAGAUACCCUUGUAGAC
Molecule: ribosomal RNA, 460 nt
Filed under: uncultured bacterium
Lineage: Bacteria
Description: partial 16S ribosomal RNA
Rfam family: Bacterial small subunit ribosomal RNA
Source: RNAcentral